UUUUAAAGAGAACAGAAGAAUCUUAGAAGUAGAAGAAUGGUAUGUUCUCUUUAAAAGUUCAAAGUUUGAAAUUGCAUUCCAUCUAGCACAUCAGUUUCUCUUAAAAGAAAUGAUAGAGAGAAGAUAAUAUUUAAACAAACAACUAGGAGGCUAGGAGCCGAGGACUGAUAAUAUUUCAGCCUUCAACUCAUGAUUCUAUCUAAUUAAAAAUUACAAGUUAGCUUGUCCCAAUCAAGUGCAGAAAACUGAUUACAUAUGAACAUCACUACCCACAAAUCUAUAUCUCACUCUUUCUAGAAGUAAUCCAACAAACAAUGCAAAAGGAAACCCUCCAAUCAUCUAAGUUAUGAUAACUAUAAAUUUUAUCCUUACAAAGUAAGAUCCCAUUUUCAGAACAUAAAUCUAUCUUGAAGAAAGCCUUUGGUGCAAAUCAUCUGCCAAUGCCUGCCUCAAGCUACCCCCAAAAUAAUUAAAUGAUUUUUCGUUCUCAAGCACCCUUGUAGGAGACCCAUUCUCAUCUGGUUCCUUCCAAAUCUCUGGCUCCGGCUCCCUCGCAACUUGACACAAAUUAUGCAACACACAACACGCAACAAUUGUCUGUGGGGCAUGAUUAAG
This 615-nucleotide unclassified non-coding RNA is filed under the name Hevea brasiliensis (rubber tree). The record is from RNAcentral. Lineage: Eukaryota; Viridiplantae; Streptophyta; Magnoliopsida; Malpighiales; Euphorbiaceae.